GCGGACGUGGUGGAAUUGGUAGACACGCCAGAUUUAGGUUCUGGUGCCGCAAGGUGUGAGAGUUCGAGUCUCUCCGUCCGCACCA
RNAcentral lists this transfer RNA (85 nucleotides) under Saccharospirillum salsuginis. Its description in RNAcentral is "tRNA-Leu". It matches the Rfam family "tRNA". From Rfam's summary of the family: Transfer RNA (tRNA) molecules are approximately 80 nucleotides in length. Their secondary structure includes four short double-helical elements and three loops (D, anti-codon, and T loops). The record is from RNAcentral. RNAcentral also lists the same sequence under 16 other names. Lineage: Bacteria; Pseudomonadati; Pseudomonadota; Gammaproteobacteria; Oceanospirillales; Saccharospirillaceae.